This 119-nucleotide transfer RNA is filed under the name Rasamsonia emersonii. Its description in RNAcentral is "tRNA-Leu". It matches the Rfam family "tRNA". From Rfam's summary of the family: Transfer RNA (tRNA) molecules are approximately 80 nucleotides in length. Their secondary structure includes four short double-helical elements and three loops (D, anti-codon, and T loops). Further hydrogen bonds mediate the characteristic L-shaped molecular structure. tRNAs have two regions of fundamental functional importance: the anti-codon, which is responsible for specific mRNA codon recognition, and the 3' end, to which the tRNAs corresponding amino acid is attached (by aminoacyl-tRNA synthetases). tRNAs cope with the degeneracy of the genetic code in two manners: having more than one tRNA (with a specific anti-codon) for a particular amino acid; and 'wobble' base-pairing, i.e. permitting non-standard base-pairing at the 3rd anti-codon position. Lineage: Eukaryota; Fungi; Ascomycota; Eurotiomycetes; Eurotiales; Trichocomaceae. RNAcentral also lists the same sequence under 1 other name. The record is from RNAcentral.
GGCAAGAUGGCCGAGCGGUCCAAGGCGCCAGGUUAAGGCCUCCCAACAGCCUUAACAGCAACUCAUUCCGAGUUCCUGGUCUUCGAAAGGGGGCGUGGGUUCGAAUCCCACUCUUGUCA